Molecule: small nucleolar RNA, 82 nt
Organism: Gadus morhua (Atlantic cod)
Lineage: Eukaryota; Metazoa; Chordata; Actinopteri; Gadiformes; Gadidae
Product: small nucleolar RNA SNORD53/SNORD92
Source: Ensembl
GGGGAGUGAUGAUUCUGAGAAUGGUUUCGCAAAACACGACUGAUGUUUAGUGAUGUCAUGCUUCUCUUGGCUAUCUGACCCA